Long non-coding RNA from Heterocephalus glaber (naked mole-rat), 1271 nucleotides. The record is from Ensembl. NCBI's taxonomy places the organism in Eukaryota, Metazoa, Chordata, Mammalia, Rodentia, Bathyergidae.
GGCAGCUUCUAGCAAAUUCUGUGCCUUCAAAUGCAGCAUUUUAUGAAAGGUAAGUUUCAUAUUUACAGAGAAAUAAAGUUAUUAAUUCCAGCUCGUCUGGCAACAAAAAAAAUGAAAAUCAUACAAUAAAUAUUAGCAUUCAUACAAUAAAUCAAUUUCCCUUCCUGUCGGGUACCAGAGUCCUGACCACUCUGAAGCUUGAAUCACAAAAUCUCAGAAAAUCUUCAUAUACAGUUACUGAUUUCUGUUCUCAGUCAUUUCUUACAUGAGUUUCAAAUGUGUUAAAUAACCCCCCAUGCAAUCGAUGGAGACCUUCAUCUUCCUAGAUAUAAAAACUCAAACAUCCGCACAUCACCAUCACAUUAUUCAAGGUUCCUUAACACUGUGACCUUGGUAUAUGAUGCAAUUUAGGCCAAUGCUCACCAAGGUCACAGAAUAGUGUAGGUGCUCUUGUGCAACUACAUCACUUCAUCCAUAAACAUGAAGUAUUUACCAAUUGACCAUACCCCAAAAUAGUUUUUGUUGAUAAAACAGUGUGCUUUCUUUUUUUCUUUUGAGACUUGAACUCACUUUGAGUUCAAGGCCAGUUUGAACUACAUAGCUUCAGGCUGGCCUCAAACUUGUGGUGAUCCUCCUGCCUCAGCCUCCUGAGUGCUGGGAUUACAGGUGUGUGCCACCAUGCCCAGCUGUUGGUAAAACAUUUCAUCAUUGAUUAAUUGUCUGGUGAGAGCACACAGUUUUUUAAAAAUUUAAAAAUCAGGAUUACUAUACAUUGGAGCCCCAUAAAAGCCAAUUGCUUUGCCAAAUCACAGAGCCAUAGUCCACUCAUCUCACUCAAAUUCCACAGGAAUUCACACCCUCUGUUGAAAUAAAUUAAAACACAAGCUCUCUUAAGGUGAGUUAACAAUAUGGUCCUGUUAUAUGAUGGAUAACACAAUACUGCUCUUUGAUGUUAAGUAGAAAAUUAUAGGCAUCAUCAGUAACUCAGAAAAGAAAAUAGGUUGUCCAGAUAGAAAGAUUUAGAAGAACUAAAUUAGCCAGGAAAUUAUUUUAGUGCAUCAGUCUCCUACCUAACUUUAUCAAAAAAGACCUGAUGUCCCUCACUUUAUUCUAAAAACUCACAUUAUAACAAGAGAAAUCUUCAGAGAAACCUUCUAUAGUUUAAGGGUAACACCUUUUACAUGAUCAGGUUGUAAACUAUCUGUUUAAAAGAAUAAAAGGAGUAUGUUAAUCCUGAAUUCAAAAUGGAGGCUUAUAAACACUGAAUAAUG